Long non-coding RNA from Rhipicephalus microplus (southern cattle tick), 532 nucleotides. The record is from RefSeq and is a predicted model, not a curated record. NCBI's taxonomy places the organism in Eukaryota, Metazoa, Arthropoda, Arachnida, Ixodida, Ixodidae.
CGACCAAUUUACCUGCUCCGAUCCACCUGAAAAGGGACCAUGCAACGAAACCAUUACCCGUUUCUACUUCAAUGUCCAAACCAAGACCUGCCAGGAAUUCGUCUACGGCGGCUGCCAGGGCAACGUGAAUAACUAUGAGACUAACGAAGAGUGCAGAGUCAGCUGUGAAUUGCGUCCGAGACCUUUCUGCUACCUGCCGAAAAAGCGAGGUGCAUGUUUCAGCAAUUACCCUCGCUAUUUCUACAACGCCACCAGUGAAAACUGUGAACAGUUCGCCUACAGUGGCUGCAGGGGCAACGCAAACAACUUCGUUGAGAUCGACGAAUGCACCCGCAUGUGCUCAAAGUACCUGUAAGAGUGAAAGAAGAGAAGCAGAAGCCAUUUUUACGAACGACAUGAAUUUCGGCACUUUCAGUGGACCUACUGUCACUCGGUAAUUUGAUGCGCCAAAAUUCUUCAAGAAAUAAAAAUUGCAUAGGCAUUAUUGUAUCUACAAGCGGCAGUUUUAAUAAAGAACAGAUAAUUUUCACAA